Long non-coding RNA from Sciurus carolinensis (gray squirrel), 1121 nucleotides. RefSeq lists it as uncharacterized. Lineage: Eukaryota; Metazoa; Chordata; Mammalia; Rodentia; Sciuridae. The transcript is spliced from 4 exons. The record is from RefSeq and is a predicted model, not a curated record.
GGGAGCCCUGGACAGUAGGACCCAGCAUCCUGUACCUCAACAGAGCAUUCACCAACAGAGAUGGUGUAGAAAUGGAGGCACAGGCCAGGCGGGCCCGUCCAUUAAGAAUGCCCUGCCAGAUGGCAUGGCUGGGAACUGCUGCUCCGGGAAGCCUUCCUCACCCAUCUAGAGACCAAAAGGCAAAGUCCCUUUUAGGAGUCAAUGAAAUGCCACUAGCCCUUUCAGGAUAAGGAAGGGAAGGGAGGGUUGUGAAGCCCCCCAUACCGCCUCGGGAUCUGGAGGGGAAGAGAAGACGCGUUCUCAAAAACCGCAGCACAGAUCUCCAAAUCCCAUGCCAGCUGUUGCCAUCACUGAGUUGAGUCCUAGCUAGCCCAGCCAUACACUUGCUGUGUAACCUCAGGCUUUGGCCCAGCUGGGCCCUGCACUCCUAGGAAAGAGGCUGUUCCAUUUCCAGCCCCACCACUUAUUGUGGGGCCUUGGGCACAGCGGGGACCUCUCUUCUGUGAACCGGGUCAUGGCUGUGUGGAUCCCAGGGUUUCUGCGGUGAUUAAACAAGGACACUCCAGGAAAAGCCCAGCCCAGGAGCAGCCGGCAGCGGCAGCGGGGCUCACACAGGGGCUCCUGCACUCCAGGGUCUCGCUCCUUGUCUGGGACCUCCCUGGAAGCCGACUUAGGUCUCGUCGCUGUGGCCCUCCGGCACGCUGCCACCUGCCCAGCACACCUCAGGCGACCGGUUGGUUGCAUGAGCGGUUAAUGAAGGAACACGCGGGCGAGAGGGUGUGGAGCAAGGAAUGGAAAGAAGGGGAAGGGUGGGCAGGCACCAGACCCCACCCGCCUUCUCCUUCCUGACGUCACCCCCUCUCCCAGGUUAUGGCUCUGCUCCUUCACGGCCUCUCUCCUGGACCAGGCUUGGGCAGGCGAUGUGUGUUGUUGAGCCCGUGGCCGCAUUUCCCCACCUAGAGAUUGGGCAUGUGGAGGGACUUUCCUCCUUGUCCUCGGGAGUCUGGGGAGCAGAGGAAGUGACCUUGGAGCCAUCUCAGUAGUCAGAGGGGUUGGGACCACCACAGUCAUACUCCACAGAGCCCAGGGCAGGGCAAGGGCCAGAGCAGGGUCCACAGGGA